This 253-nucleotide ribosomal RNA is filed under the name uncultured bacterium. RNAcentral's name for it is "partial 16S ribosomal RNA". It matches the Rfam family "Bacterial small subunit ribosomal RNA", at positions 524 to 776 of the family's 1533-position model. The record is from RNAcentral.
UACGUAGGGUGCAAGUGUUGUCCGGAAUUAUUGGGCGUAAAGAGCUCGUAGGCGGUUUGUCGCGUCGAAUGUGAAAACCCGGGGCUCAACCCCGGGCCUGCAUUCGAUACGGGCAGACUAGAGUUCGGUAGGGGAGUCUGGAAUUCCUGGUGUAGCGGUGAAAUGCGCAGAUAUCAGGAGGAACACCGGUGGCGAAGGCGGGACUCUGGGCCGAUACUGACGCUGAGGAGCGAAAGCGUGGGGAGCGAACAGG